RNAcentral lists this ribosomal RNA (341 nucleotides) under uncultured Pseudomonas sp. Its description in RNAcentral is "bacterial SSU rRNA". It matches the Rfam family "Bacterial small subunit ribosomal RNA", at positions 1039 to 1381 of the family's 1533-position model. Lineage: Bacteria; Pseudomonadati; Pseudomonadota; Gammaproteobacteria; Pseudomonadales; Pseudomonadaceae. The record is from RNAcentral.
UGGUGCAUGGUUGUCGUCAGCUCGUGUCGUGAGAUGUUCAGUUAAGUCUGGCAACGAGCGCAACCCUCGUGAUGUGUUACCAAUAUCGAGUUAGGGACUCACAUCAGACUGCCGGUGAGAAACCGGAGGAAGGCGGGGAUGACGUCAAAUCAUCAUGCCCCUUAUGGCCUGGGCUACACACGUACUACAAUGGCGGCGACAGAGGGCAGCGAGCCUGCGAAGGCAAGCGAAUCCCAAAAAAGCCGUCCCAGUUCGGAUUGGAGUCUGCAACCCGACUCCAUGAAGUUGGAAUCGCUAGUAAUCGCGGAUCAGCAUGCCGCGGUGAAUACGUUCUCGGGUCU